GAUGAUAGGGUUCCGAAGUCAAAAAUCGUUCGUGCUUGCACGAAAACGAUUUUGACCUUGGAACCCGCCAAACACGAGGAAGGAGCUGUUUGCGCAGUAAACAAGCGGAUUCCGAGUGUUUGCAGGAUUGCGGGAAUUGCGAAGCAAUGAAGCAAUCCGUCAUC
Molecule: small RNA, 164 nt
Filed under: bovine gut metagenome
Description: Clostridiales-1 RNA
Rfam family: Clostridiales-1 RNA
Source: RNAcentral